Long non-coding RNA from Vigna unguiculata (cowpea), 1068 nucleotides. NCBI's taxonomy places the organism in Eukaryota, Viridiplantae, Streptophyta, Magnoliopsida, Fabales, Fabaceae. The record is from RefSeq and is a predicted model, not a curated record.
CAUACUUAGUUUUAGGUAUCUUGACUGGUUCCAGCAUUCACAUAUGCAUAAAUCACAUUUUGAGUUCAUUGUGCCAUUUUGUCAAACGCAUUGUGCAUAUUCAAUUUUCACAUAGGCAUUUCAUCAAACAGAUUUCGUUUUCAUAUUUCUUCAUUGUUUUAGGUAGUUUUAAAGUUCUGAACAUGUUCAAAUACAUAUUUUCACACAUUACAUGCAUUCAUAUAUGAUUUUCAUUCAUUAGAAUCCAUUUUAGAUAUUGAAACCAUUGUAUUCAUAUUCAUAAACCGUGCAUGCUGUCCAGUUUUGGUCAUUACUUAUGGUUCAGGCAUCAUUUCAUUGGCAUUUUAGAACCAUUUUAACAUAGUUUAGAGUAUUAUGUAUUCCUGCAUUCCUACAUACACAAAUCAAAUUUCACAUGCUUAAAUCAUUCUUAUUGGUCACAGAAGCAAGAACAUUGCAGGAACAAGUCAAGUUAUUAAUUACCUUCUGAUAACUCCAUUCUUUCUGAAAAUCCAUCUGGCUCAACAGAAAAGUUUCAGGAUGCUCCUUACAAGAGAGCUACUGACGAACUUCCUAACAUACCAAUUAGGACUCAGGAACAACUGAAUCUUCCCUGCACAAGCAAUCAGCCAGGGGGUGUUGGAGUGAGCAUGGGUGGCAGUGCAAGCAAUAAUGUAUCACUCACACUAGGACUUUAUCAAAAUCAUGGCAUUGGUUUGGCUGAACCUUUUACCCUGAAUGCAGCACAGAGAUUUGGUGUUGCUCUUGAAACCAACAAUGAAGGCUAUGUUAUGAGUGGAUAUGAGUCACAGAAUAGGCAUUUUGGAAGAGAUGUCAUUGGGGGGCAACUGGUGCAUGACUUUGCUGGCUGAAGUUGGUAGAGGGAUUGGAAUGUUGCACUUUAUGGUGAUACUGGCAUUGAUGAAUGAACCUUCCAGUUAGGGGGAGCAGAUUAACAGAUUAACAGGUCUUUCUAUUGAACUCACUUGUAUGAAGAUUGUAAAAUUAUUGUGUAAAUUCAUUUGAGGUUAUUACUGGGAGUAAAUCCAAAUGCUCUUUGCUUUUUAA